ACACACCCCAGUCCUUAGAGAUAGUUGUUGUUUUCCGAUUUUUCCUCCCUGUUUUUUAUUUUCUCUUUUUUCUUACGCAAAAGAUAGCACAUACUCUAUGCUACAUAUGCUGUUUUGUACUUUGCUUUUUUUCAUUUCAGAAAAUCUCCUGGAAAUCACUGCACACCAGUUUGCAGAGAUUGUCUUCACUUUUUUUUUUUUAAUAGCUGCAUGGCACUGCACUGUGUGUAUGCUGUGCAUAUUCCAUAGUUAUUCUGCCAGUCUCCUGUGCUUGGACAUUCAGGUGGUUUCCAGUAUUCUGCAGUAACAAAUAAUCUUAUGCUGAAUAAUUCAUAUAUACAUAUCUUAAUAUUGUUGGAAUUGUAUGGUUGAAGUGUAAAUGCAUGUUGUUUUGUUAGAUAUUGCCAUUGGAAUUGUACCUUUUUGGAAAAAAACAUUUCCACCAACAAUAGAGUGUAUUUCCACAGAGUGUAUUGACAAGCUUUUGGAUUUUUGUUACUUUGAUGAGUGAAUAAUGGUGCAGUAUUAAUUUUAAUUAAACAUCUUUUAAUAUGGUCAAGGCUCAUGUUUAUAUCUUUUUAUGAAUUGUCCGUUCAUGUCUUUUGCCCAUUUUUCUAUAGGAUUUUGGCCAUUUUUCUUCAGUUUUUAAAAGUUCUUCAUAAAUUAGGAAUAUUAACCUUUAAUUUGUGACACACCUUGUGAAUAUUUAUUCUAGUUUGUCAUGUGUUUUGACUUUGUUUAUGGUGCUUUUUAUCAUGUAUAUUUUUAAUUCUUAUAUAGUCAAGUGUAUUUCCUCUGGGUUUUGAGUUGUAGUUAAUGUCUUUCCUUACACUGUGACUAAAAUGGAAUUUGUUGAUUUUCUUCUAGUACUUGUACAGUUUUAUUUUUUACAUUUAGAUCUCUUAUGUGUCUGGAGUUGAUUCUUAUGUACGGUAUGAGGAAUGCAUCUAAUUAUAUAUUUUUCCAAUAGCUAUCCAAUUGUCCCAAUACUGUUUAUUAAAAAAACUCUUUGGUGAUUUGACAUCACACCUUUAUUAUAUUUUUGUACAUAAUUAGGUCUGUUUCUGGACUGUUUAUCCUGUUUCAUCCAUCUGUCUACUCAUGUGCCAGUACCAUACUGUUUUAAUUUUAAAGGCUUUGUAGUCUGUUUUAUUAUCUGAUGGGGCUAGUCGCCCUCAUAACUCUCUCUUUUCAGUAUUUUUCUAGCUGUUCUUUUGUGUUCAUUUUUCUAUAUGAGAAUUUUAGAGUCAAUGCAUGUAGCUCUCUAAGCAAAAGUGUUUUCUCUGGUCCCUUUACAUCCAAGCUUCUUAAAAGACUGUUCAAUACUGAUUUUAAUUCCUCUCCAUUUCCUUCUUUAGUCCUCUCAAAGAUUCCUUUGUCCAUUGUGAUCACAUUAAAUUUGUAAAUUUGAGUACAAUUAAAAUAACUCUGCCAAAAAUAUGUCAGUAACUGAUUCCUCUGCAGUGAUUAUGAUUUAAUCAGAUUGACGUAAAUUUUCUAAUUUAUCAGCCUUUUAUUUUUGAGAAGCAUUUUUCUUUUUUUUUGGCAGAAGACAGUGUCUAGAAGCAGUUGAAAAGCAUUUUUCACAUAUUUGUGAAAUAAUAUAAAGAUUUUAAGUACUGACCAGUGUUCAAUUUUUAUUUUAGAUUUCCAUGGUGUCAGUGAUUCAUAUUCCUGAUAGGACUUAUAAACUAUCCUGCAGAAUAUUGUAUCAAUAUUUACUCUUGGCUCAAGGUCAAUUUCAUGAUCUUAAGCAACUUUUCAUGUCUGCAAAUAAUAAUUUCACUCCCUCCAACAAUUCCUCUUCAGAAGAAAAAAACACAGACAGAAGUUUGUUGGAAAAGGUGGGACUCUCUGAAAGUGAAGUUGAGCCAUCGGAAGAGAACAGCAAGGACUGUGUUGUUUGCCAGAAUGGGACUGUGAACUGGGUACUCUUACCAUGCAGACACACAUGCCUGUGUGAUGGCUGUGUGAAGUAUUUUCAGCAGUGCCCAAUGUGCAGGCAGUUUGUUCAGGAAUCUUUUGCACUUUGCAGUCAAAAAGAGCAAGAUAAAGACAAACCGAAGACUCUUUGAAGACAUCGUAACACUGAAAAGUACACUUUCUACUAAAGAUGCAGAAAUUGAUGAUCUUGGAAUUCAUCAUAACAUGGAAUCUACAGUACUGACGAUCAAUGAAAAUUCUAUUUUAACUUCAUAUUUGUAUGGUACUUGGAUGAUAAAAAUUAAUUAUUCCUUUCUGCUUAGUGAAUGAAUACUGGAAUCCGUCUGUGUUGAUACAUAAAAAUUCAUUCAACUCUUGAAAAG
RNAcentral lists this small RNA (2306 nucleotides) under Pan troglodytes (chimpanzee). RNAcentral describes it as "retained intron". The record is from RNAcentral. Lineage: Eukaryota; Metazoa; Chordata; Mammalia; Primates; Hominidae.